RNAcentral lists this ribosomal RNA (1291 nucleotides) under Staphylococcus pseudintermedius. Its description in RNAcentral is "bacterial SSU rRNA". It matches the Rfam family "Bacterial small subunit ribosomal RNA", at positions 1 to 1273 of the family's 1533-position model. Lineage: Bacteria; Bacillati; Bacillota; Bacilli; Caryophanales; Staphylococcaceae. The record is from RNAcentral.
UUUAUGGAGAGUUUGAUCCUGGCUCAGGAUGAACGCUGGCGGCGUGCCUAAUACAUGCAAGUCGAGCGAACAGAUAAGGAGCUUGCUCCUUUGACGUUAGCGGCGGACGGGUGAGUAACACGUGGGUAACCUACCUAUAAGACUGGAAUAACUCCGGGAAACCGGGGCUAAUGCCGGAUAACAUGUUGAACCGCAUGGUUCUACAGUGAAAGACGGUCUUGCUGUCACUUAUAGAUGGACCCGCGCCGUAUUAGCUAGUUGGUGGGGUAACGGCCUACCAAGGCGACGAUACGUAGCCGACCUGAGAGGGUGAUCGGCCACACUGGAACUGAGACACGGUCCAGACUCCUACGGGAGGCAGCAGUAGGGAAUCUUCCGCAAUGGGCGAAAGCCUGACGGAGCAACGCCGCGUGAGUGAUGAAGGUCUUCGGAUCGUAAAGCUCUGUUGUUAGGGAAGAACAAAUGUGUAAGUAACUGUGCACAUCUUGACGGUACCUAACCAGAAAGCCACGGCUAACUACGUGCCAGCAGCCGCGGUAAUACGUAGGUGGCAAGCGUUAUCCGGAAUUAUUGGGCGUAAAGCGCGCGUAGGCGGUUUUUUAAGUCUGAUGUGAAAGCCCACGGCUCAACCGUGGAGGGUCAUUGGAAACUGGAAAACUUGAGUGCAGAAGAGGAAAGUGGAAUUCCAUGUGUAGCGGUGAAAUGCGCAGAGAUAUGGAGGAACACCAGUGGCGAAGGCGGCUUUCUGGUCUGCAACUGACGCUGAUGUGCGAAAGCGUGGGGAUCAAACAGGAUUAGAUACCCUGGUAGUCCACGCCGUAAACGAUGAGUGCUAAGUGUUAGGGGGUUUCCGCCCCUUAGUGCUGCAGCUAACGCAUUAAGCACUCCGCCUGGGGAGUACGGUCGCAAGACUGAAACUCAAAGGAAUUGACGGGGACCCGCACAAGCGGUGGAGCAUGUGGUUUAAUUCGAAGCAACGCGAAGAACCUUACCAAAUCUUGACAUCCUUUGACCGCUCUAGAGAUAGAGUUUUCCUCUUCGGAGGACAAAGUGACAGGUGGUGCAUGGUUGUCGUCAGCUCGUGUCGUGAGAUGUUGGGUUAAGUCCCGCAACGAGCGCAACCCUUGAACUUAGUUGCCAUCAUUCAGUUGGGCACUCUAAGUUGACUGCCGGUGACAAACCGGAGGAAGGUGGGGAUGACGUCAAAUCAUCAUGCCCCUUAUGAUUUGGGCUACACACGUGCUACAAUGGACAAUACAAAGGGCAGCGAAACCGCGAGGUCAAGCAAAUC